Molecule: ribosomal RNA, 301 nt
Filed under: uncultured bacterium
Lineage: Bacteria
Description: partial 16S ribosomal RNA
Rfam family: Bacterial small subunit ribosomal RNA
Source: RNAcentral
CAGCCGCCACGGUAAUACGUAGGUGGCAAGCGUUGUCCGGAAUUAUUGGGCGUAAAGGGCUCGCAGGCGGUUUCUUAAGUCUGAUGUGAAAGCCCCCGGCUCAACCGGGGAGGGUCAUUGGAAACUGGGAAACUUGAGUGCAGAAGAGGAGAGUGGAAUUCCACGUGUAGCGGUGAAAUGCGUAGAGAUGUGGAGGAACACCAGUGGCGAAGGCGACUCUCUGGUCCGUAACUGACGCUGAGGAGCGAAAGCGUGGGGAGCGAACAGGAUUAGAGACCCGCGUAGUCCCUGUCUCUUAUAC